This 502-nucleotide ribosomal RNA is filed under the name uncultured organism. Its description in RNAcentral is "SSU rRNA". It matches the Rfam family "Bacterial small subunit ribosomal RNA", at positions 50 to 509 of the family's 1533-position model. The record is from RNAcentral.
AAGACAUGCAAGUCGAACGAAGUGUUCCAUUGAAAUUUUUGUGCUUGCACAAGAAUGGAUUUGGGUUUGCACUUAGUGGCAGACGGGUGAGUAACACGUGGGUAAUCUACCUCAGAGUUUGGGAUAACGUUUGGAAACGAAUGCUAAUACCGAAUGAUUCAUAAAUAGAUAACUAUUUAUGCUAAAAGGAGCGUUUGCUUCGCUUUGAGAUGAGCUUGCGGUGUAUUAGCUUGUUGGUGGGGUAAUGGCCUACCAAGGCAACGAUGCAUAUCCGAGCUGAGAGGCUGAUCGGACACACUGGGACUGAGACACGGCCCAGACUCCUACGGGAGACAGCAGUUAGGAAUAUUCGUCAAUGGGGGAAACCCUGAACGAGCAAUGCCGCGUGAGUGAUGAAGGUCUUUUAGAUUGUAAAACUCUGUUGUGAAGAAAGAAUUGUUAUUAUAGGAAAUGAUAAUAACUUGACGGUACUUCGCCAGAAAGCCCCGGCUAACUACGUGCC